AAAAACAUGGCUCUUUGCUCACAUAAAUAUAAAGAGUCGAGCCUGCCCAGUGAAUUUUUUAACGGCCGCGGUACUCUGACCGUGCAAAGGUAGCAUAAUCAUUUGCCUUAUAAUUGAAGGCUAGUAUGAAUGGUUUGACGAGAGCAAUACUGUCUCCUUUUUAUUUUCAAAAACUUAACUUUUAGGUGAAGAGGCCUAAAUUUUAUUGAAGGACAAGAAGACCCUGUCGAGCUUAAAAGACACUAUAGAAGUUUAGUAUAUCUUUAGAUAAAUUUUCUAUCAAGCUUUUUAGUUGGGGCGACUAAGGAACAAAAAAAGCUUCUUUCUAAUAAUAAACAAUCAUGUUUGGAUCCGAUAAUAGCGAUCAAAGAAAUUAGUUACCGCAGGGAUAACAGCAUAAUCUCUCUUAAGAGACCUAAUCGAAAGAGGGGGUUGUGACCUCGAUGUUGGACUAGAAUAUCCUAAAGAUGCAGAAGUCUUUAAGGGUCGGUCUGUUCGACCGUUAAAAUUCUACGUGAUCUGA
Molecule: ribosomal RNA, 523 nt
Filed under: Semisulcospira libertina
Lineage: Eukaryota; Metazoa; Mollusca; Gastropoda; Semisulcospiridae
Description: partial 16S ribosomal RNA
Rfam family: Bacterial large subunit ribosomal RNA
Source: RNAcentral